GAUGAACGCUGGCGGCGUGCCUAAUACAUGCAAGUCGAGCGAACAGACGAGGAGCUUGCUCCUCUGACGUUAGCGGCGGACGGGUGAGUAACACGUGGAUAACCUACCUAUAAGACUGGGAUAACUUCGGGAAACCGGAGCUAAUACCGGAUAAUAUAUUGAACCGCAUGGUUCAAUAGUGAAAGACGGUUUUGCUGUCACUUAUAGAUGGAUCCGCGCGGCAUUAGCUAGUUGGUAAGGUAACGGCUUACCAAGGCAACGAUGCGUAGCCGACCUGCGAGGGUGAUCGGCCACACGGGAGCUGAGACACGGUCCAGACUCCUACGGGAGGCAGCAGUAGGGAAUCUUCCGCAAUGGGCGAAAGCCUGACGGAGCAACGCCGCGUGAGUGAUGAAGGUCUUCGGAUCGUAAAACUCUGUUAUUAGGGAAGAACAAAUGUGUAAGUAACUGUGCACGUCUUGACGGUACCUAAUCAGAAAGCCACGGCUAACUACGUG
This 497-nucleotide ribosomal RNA is filed under the name uncultured bacterium. Its description in RNAcentral is "partial 16S ribosomal RNA". It matches the Rfam family "Bacterial small subunit ribosomal RNA", at positions 28 to 507 of the family's 1533-position model. The record is from RNAcentral.